AGCUUUAUACGUCAAUGACCUCAACUAACCUAUAAGCCCCGCCUACUAACCGGAACUACUGUAUUUCAUCAACAACGUCACGUCACAACCAUGACAACGUGUAGUAACAAUGGUCAAACUUUUAUGUAUUUAAACUUGUUAUAUCUUCAAAUUGUUAAUUUAUAUACAUGUGUAUCAAAUGUUAUUAUUUAAGUUCAUUUUCCUUUUCUUAUUUCUUAAAAUUUCAAUGUCUUACCGCCAGGACUACGCUCAUAGGGAAAUACCCCAAAACGGUACCCCCAAGAGGGAAAUUCCAAAACACUUUUUUUUAACAAUAUUUGUUACAUAUUUUUUUAUUUUUUAAAUUUUUUUUAUCGAUUUCAGUAUAAAAACAAUAUACGUAUAGUGUCUUGAAAUAUGACAUUUAUUUGUAUUCGGCACGAAACGGGAAAAUGCUCG
This 438-nucleotide long non-coding RNA is filed under the name Mytilus galloprovincialis (Mediterranean mussel). Lineage: Eukaryota; Metazoa; Mollusca; Bivalvia; Mytilida; Mytilidae. The record is from RNAcentral.